Molecule: ribosomal RNA, 468 nt
Filed under: uncultured bacterium
Lineage: Bacteria
Description: partial 16S ribosomal RNA
Rfam family: Bacterial small subunit ribosomal RNA
Source: RNAcentral
GACGAACGCUGGCGGCGUGCUUAACACAUGCAAGUCGAACGGAAAGGCCCUGCUUUUGUGGGGUGCUCGAGUGGCGAACGGGUGAGUAACACGUGAGUAACCUGCCCUUGACUUUGGGAUAACUUCAGGAAACUGGGGCUAAUACCGGAUAGGAGCUCCUGCUGCAUGGUGGGGGUUGGAAAGUUUCGGCGGUUGGGGAUGGACUCGCGGCUUAUCAGCUUGUUGGUGGGGUAGUGGCUUACCAAGGCUUUGACGGGUAGCCGGCCUGAGAGGGUGACCGGCCACAUUGGGACUGAGAUACGGACCAGACUCCUACGGGAGGCAGCAGUGGGGAAUAUUGCACAAUGGGCGGAAGCCUGAUGCAGCAACGCCGCGUGCGGGAUGACGGCCUUCGGGUUGUAAACCGCUUUCGCCUGUGCCGAAGCGUGAGUGACGGUAAUGGGUCAAGAAGCACCGGCUAACUACGUG